Molecule: long non-coding RNA, 1738 nt
Organism: Dermacentor andersoni
Lineage: Eukaryota; Metazoa; Arthropoda; Arachnida; Ixodida; Ixodidae
Source: RefSeq, a predicted model, not a curated record
CACUACAACCGCGAUGCGCAGAGAUGACUCGAGACGAAUGAAAGAACAUAACGAUGGCGGUUAGGCAGUACGUUACAGCUCUGGUUACUUGUUGUUUUCUAACCGUAGGAGCCGUUUUAUAAGCGCUAUAAAAUAUUGACUGGCAUUGUCUGAUAUUGUUUGGUGGCACGCGGGCAAAUCCGAAAUUAAAUUCACGGUCUUUACCUGCCAGAACCACAAUCUGAUUAUGAGGCAUGCCGUAGUGGGUGACUCCGGAUGAAUUUUGAACGCCUGGGUUUCUUUAACGUGCACCUAAAUCUAAAUACAACAUUGCGAACUUUCUUUCUUUCUUUUUUUUUGCAUCUCGCUCCUCCCCUACCAAAAUGCGGCUGCCGCGCGCGGAUUCGAACCCACGACCUUGAGCGCAACGUCAUAGCCGCUUUUAACUACAGCAGUGGGAGCAAGCCUGUGAGAGGGCGCUAUUCGAACUCGCGUAGUCGGCUAUACGAACGUUGGCGUUUCUGGCAAUCCUCAACUUAAUCCAAAUGUGCGCAUUAAAAGGGCAUUUGCGUCGCUCUGAAACGGAGGCCUCACCAGCCUCGAAACGUUUGCUUUAUUAGGAAGCACUCGGCGACGUACACCGGCAAAAUGGUUAUUUAGCAUGUGUUGCAAAAGACAGACGCCCGUCUGCUGCUGGCAUCAAUGUUGCGAACGUGGCUCCUACAUUUGACGUGCGGCGGACUGUGGGCGGCAGGCACCGAUGACGCAGCUAAAUUUACGAGCCGAUGGCGGUCGAGUGCCUUGUCAUCGGCGUCUGGCCUUGGCCCCCGGAUCAAGCCAGGGCAAGCCAAGACGAGGCCACAGGUCGUUCACGGUAUCAACGUUCAUGUGAAUGCGGCCCGAGCGGCUGUGUGGAUUUUUCAGAUCGUAAUGAUAGCAGACGGUCACCAGCAGACGGCGCGGACGAUUGCAUUAUGCUGUCGGCGGCAUUUUUGCGUACGCUGCUUCCACUAUUAACGCAUCUGAGACCUGCAUUUUUAAUUUCUAAUGCCAUAGCAAGGUUCUUAACGAAUAGUCCACGUAUCGAAACUGCAUUUUGUGCUUCGCUUCAGUCUAUCUUCAAAGGCUUGUUACAGAAGCACAGCCCUCUCUUCACUGCAACGGAACGUUUUGGUGACCUUCAGGACAGCUGCGCGCUGAUACCGAAAGACCUGCACUGCACGGACCAUGAGACUCACACGGCUACAGAGGUUUUUUGACCAGCGAUAUUUCUGAACGAAGAGGCGGGGAUGGGUCACCCGGAGUAAUCAGCGGGGGGUCGGAGACUGACGGCUACUCCGCAGGAGGUCAAAAAGAAGCGGCAAAAGUUCGAACUAAGCCCACCGACGCAAGAAACAGACAAACAGACGUCAAACGGCUCUUUGAAACCCGCCAUACAACGAAAGGCGCCCGCACUGUAGGUGGCAACAGGGCCCGAUCGACGCUUCGAUGGACCGUACUCGGCCGCCAGCCGUCGCCUUCUACACACCUGCGGGCGGGCCCCGACAGCACCUAUCAAUUAUAAUACCGAAGUGCCUUCGUGUGCCUGUGUAUAUUUUGCUGCUUUUGACUGAGUCUUCAAAACUCGCCAAUCGAUGACGUCGGGGACGCGGGGAUACCGCAGCGUGGGCGUCGCACUCCGCGUCGAAGCGUGAGACUCCUCGUUCGCAGGAGUCUCACGGUGACGUCACCGUCGGCUGCGGAGGCAGGUCUUUAAAAC